Molecule: ribosomal RNA, 460 nt
Filed under: uncultured bacterium
Lineage: Bacteria
Description: partial 16S ribosomal RNA
Rfam family: Bacterial small subunit ribosomal RNA
Source: RNAcentral
CCUACGGGGAGCAGCAGUGAGGAAUAUUGGUCAAUGGACGAGAGUCUGAACCAGCCAAGUAGCGUGAAGGAUGACUGCCCUAUGGGUUGUAAACUUCUUUUAUAUGGGAAUAAAAUGUUCCACGUGUGGGAUUUUGUAUGUACCAUAUGAAUAAGGAUCGGCUAACUCCGUGCCAGCAGCCGCGGUAAGACGGAGGAUCCGAGCGUUAUCCGGAUUUAUUGGGUUUAAAGGGAGCGUAGGUGGAUUGUUAAGUCAGUUGUGAAAGUUUGCGGCUCAACCGUAAAAUUGCAGUUGAAACUGGCAGUCUUGAGUACAGUAGAGGUGGGCGGAAUUCGUGGUGUAGCGGUGAAAUGCUUAGAUAUCACGAAGAACUCCGAUUGCGAAGGCAGUUCACUGGACUGCAACUGACACUGAGGCUCGAAAGUGUGGGUAUCAAACAGGAUUAGAUACCCGUGUAGUC